Molecule: non-coding RNA, 72 nt
Organism: Phrynosoma platyrhinos (Desert horned lizard)
Lineage: Eukaryota; Metazoa; Chordata; Lepidosauria; Squamata; Phrynosomatidae
Source: the annotation of a GenBank genome assembly
GCCAAAGUGGUGUAGUGGUUUGAGCAUUGGACUAUGGCUCUGAAGACCAGGGUUCGAUUCCCCGUUUGAGCC